Molecule: transfer RNA, 75 nt
Filed under: Archaeoglobus sp.
Lineage: Archaea; Methanobacteriati; Methanobacteriota; Archaeoglobi; Archaeoglobales; Archaeoglobaceae
Also listed under: 1 other name
Description: tRNA-Tyr
Rfam family: tRNA
About the family: Transfer RNA (tRNA) molecules are approximately 80 nucleotides in length. Their secondary structure includes four short double-helical elements and three loops (D, anti-codon, and T loops). Further hydrogen bonds mediate the characteristic L-shaped molecular structure. tRNAs have two regions of fundamental functional importance: the anti-codon, which is responsible for specific mRNA codon recognition, and the 3' end, to which the tRNAs corresponding amino acid is attached (by aminoacyl-tRNA synthetases). tRNAs cope with the degeneracy of the genetic code in two manners: having more than one tRNA (with a specific anti-codon) for a particular amino acid; and 'wobble' base-pairing, i.e. permitting non-standard base-pairing at the 3rd anti-codon position.
Source: RNAcentral
CCCGCCUUAGCUCAGUCUGGCCAGAGCGCGCGACUGUAGAUCGCGUGGUCCCCGGUUCAAAUCCGGGAGGCGGGA